UCCGCGUUCGACUAACCGGCAGGUCACCAGGUUUUGGCCCUGGCAGUCCAGGUUCGAACCCUGGGCGCGGAG
This 72-nucleotide transfer RNA is filed under the name Citricoccus sp. NR2. Its description in RNAcentral is "tRNA-Gln". It matches the Rfam family "tRNA". Rfam says of the family: Transfer RNA (tRNA) molecules are approximately 80 nucleotides in length. Their secondary structure includes four short double-helical elements and three loops (D, anti-codon, and T loops). The record is from RNAcentral. Lineage: Bacteria; Bacillati; Actinomycetota; Actinomycetes; Micrococcales; Micrococcaceae.